GAUGAACGCUGGCGGCGUGCCUAAUACAUGCAAGUCGAGCGAACAGAUAAGGAGCUUGCUCCUUUGACGUUAGCGGCGGACGGGUGAGUAACACGUGGGUAACCUACCUAUAAGACUGGAAUAACUUCGGGAAACCGGGGCUAAUGCCGGAUAACAUUUAGAACCGCAUGGUUCGAAAGUGAAAGAUGGUUUUGCUAUCACUUAUAGAUGGACCCGCGCCGUAUUAGCUAGUUGGUAAGGUAACGGCUUACCAAGGCAACGAUACGUAGCCGACCUGAGAGGGUGUCCGGCCAACCGGGACCUGAGCCCCGGCCCAGCCCCCUAGGGGAGGCAGCAGUAGGAAACCUGCCGCAAUGGGCGAAAGCCUGCCGGAGCAACGCGGCGUGAGUGAUGAAGGUCUUCGGAUCGUAAAACUCUGUUAUUAGGGAAGACCAAAUGUGUAAGAACUGUGCACGUCUUGACGGUACCUAAUCAGAAAGCCACGGCUAACUACGUG
Molecule: ribosomal RNA, 496 nt
Filed under: uncultured bacterium
Lineage: Bacteria
Description: partial 16S ribosomal RNA
Rfam family: Bacterial small subunit ribosomal RNA
Source: RNAcentral